RNAcentral lists this ribosomal RNA (1325 nucleotides) under Candidatus Lloydbacteria bacterium RIFCSPHIGHO2_02_FULL_50_18. Its description in RNAcentral is "bacterial SSU rRNA". It matches the Rfam family "Bacterial small subunit ribosomal RNA", at positions 1 to 1297 of the family's 1533-position model. Lineage: Bacteria; Candidatus Lloydiibacteriota. The record is from RNAcentral.
UUAAGAGUUUGAUCCUAGCUCAGGAUGAACGCUGGCGGCGUGGAUAAGGCAUGCAAGUCGAGGGGGCACUCCACACAGAAUGCGAUCAAUACAUGAUCGUCGAUUGUGUGGAGUGUCACCGGCAAACGAGGUAGUAACACGUAGGAACGAACCGAGAAGUCAGGAAUAACCCAUCGAAAGAUGGACUAAUACUUGAUAGUCCCGAAAGGGUAAAGAUUUAUCGCUUUUUGGUCGGCCUGCGGAAUAUCAGCUAGUUGGCGGUGUAAUAGACCACCAAGGCUAUGACGUUUAGGGGAGGUGAGAGCCUGACCCCCACCGAUGGGACUGCGACACGGCCCAUACACCUACGGGUGGCUGCAGUCGAGAAUCUUCCACAAUGGACGAAAGUCUGAUGGAGCGACGCCGCGUGACUGAUGAAGCAUUUCGGUGUGUAAAGGUCUUUUAUGAGGGAUGACAUAAGCGACAGUACCUCAUGAAUAAGGGGCUGCUAAUCACGUGCCAGCAGCAGCGGUAAUACGUGAGCCCCGAGCGUUAUCCGGAAUUAUUGGGCGUAAAGAGUGCGUAGGCGGCGUAGUUAGUCUUCUGUUUAAUCCUUCGGCUCAACCGGAGAACUGCAGAGGAAACGGCUAUGCUUGAGCAUGUAAGAGGUGAGCAGAACUCAUGGUGUAGGGGUGAAAUCCGUUGAUAUCAUGGGGAAUACCAAAUGCGAAGGCAGCUCACUGGUACAUUGCUGACGCUGAGGCACGAAAGCGUAGGUAGCGAAUGGGAUUAGAUACCCCAGUAGUCUACGCUGUAAACGAUGUUCUCUCGCCUUACGGAGUAUCGACCCUCUGUGAGGCUAAGCUAACGCGUUAAGAGAACCGCCUGGGUAGUACGAUCGCAAGAUUAAAACUCAAAGGAAUAGACGGGGACUUGCACAAGCGGUGGAUUAUGUGGUUUAAUUCGAUGGUACACGAAGAACCUUACCAGGGUUAGAUAUCCUAUGGAAAGACUAAGGAAACUUAGUAACUCCGCAAGGACCGUAGGACAGGUGAUGCAUGGCCGUCGUCAGUUCGUGGUUUGAACUGUUCCCUUAAGUGGGGUAACGAACGCAACCCUUAUCGUCUGUUACAAGUGUCAGGCGAGACUGCCCAGCCCUUUGAGCACAAUCCAAUCAUGAAAGAAUUGAUUGAGAUUGCGAAUAAGGGGCUGGGAGGAAGGUGGGGAUGACGCCAGGUCAGCAUGUCCCUUGAUGCCCUGGGCUACACACAUAAUACAAUGGAGGUUACAACGGGCAGCGACCCAGCAAUGGUGAGCUAAUCCUUAAAAAGCCUUCUCAGUCCGGA